RNAcentral lists this ribosomal RNA (94 nucleotides) under Williamsia sp. Leaf354. The record is from RNAcentral. Lineage: Bacteria; Bacillati; Actinomycetota; Actinomycetes; Mycobacteriales; Nocardiaceae.
AACGCCCGGCCCCAUUCCGAACCCGGAAGCUAAGCCCUCCAGCGCCAAUGGUACUGCACCCUAAUCAGUGUGGGAGAGUAGGACACCGCCGAAC